Long non-coding RNA from Felis catus (domestic cat), 2212 nucleotides. RefSeq lists it as uncharacterized. Lineage: Eukaryota; Metazoa; Chordata; Mammalia; Carnivora; Felidae. The record is from RefSeq and is a predicted model, not a curated record. The transcript is spliced from 3 exons.
AAGCCUAGAAGGGGCCGUUAACUGACCUCGCUCUCCCGCAGCUUCUGAAGCUUUCCCGCUCAAAGUAAACCUGUUCGGGAUUGGCUCUGAUUGGCAAGCAACAGCUCUAUGAUUGGCUAAUAGGGCAGCGGAGGGGCGGGGCGUGGAAGAUAAGGAAAGAGAGCAGGCCUACCCCGUGGGAGAAGCGGUGGAGGUGGUCGGAAGAUUUGAGAAGUCGCUCAGCAACUGGCUGAUAAUCUAAACCUAUCGCUGCGCACCUUGUGCCAACAUUUCAUUUUUGGCCCUUGGGCCCUUCCCUAACUCCCAGAGUCCUUUGGAACAGCCAAGAGAAUAAUAGACGUGCCCGUUUACAGAAGAACUGCACAAGGAACUAUGGACCCAGCAAAAGGAACAGAGAGAUGCUCAGUAGCUUCUUUCUCCAAAUGCGGGGCCUUCCUUCUUAAGGACGAGAGAACGUCAGAUUGAUAGCUCCACCAAACUGAGAGGUUUUACACAGGCGGCUGCUCACAACACUCUAUUCAUCAUCCAGGUCUCCGCUUAGAUAUUGUUUCCUCCAGGAAGUCUUCCGUGGUCCAUAAAGUUGGGGUUUGACGCCUCUUCUGUGAAUUCCCAUAGCACCCUAGACUUGACUAGCACUGUGCUCAUCACGCUGUGUUGUAAUUACCUGGGGUUUCACCUCGCCCUCCCACUAGAACAUACCCUUCCAAAGGAACAGGAACCAAAUCUGCAUUGCUCACUGCUGCUUCCCUGGCACCUUUGCAAAGGUACUUUCUACGUACUGAUGGAAGAAAGGAAGGGAAGAAGGGAAGAAGAAAGAAGAGGAGAGGGAAAGAGAAGGAUAGGAAGUUGGUUUAAAAGCUGGAACAGCUCAGGAUAAGACCAGGAUUCAACUAUGCGGAUGGACCUCAUAGCCAUUAGAUACAAACAAGGGAAUAUUAUAUUAUUUCAUUGCUAGAAGUUCUUGAACAGACACAAGUAAUUGAUUGUGAUAGAAGCCAGAAUAGUGGUUGCCUCUAGAGCAGAACUCACUGGAAGAAAGUGUCCUAUAUCUUAAAUAGUGUUUAUGUGAGUGUUGACACACGUAAAAAUUCAUUAAUCUAUACUUAACAUGCACUUUGUGCAUUUCACUCUAGGUUAUAUCUCAGUAAGAAAAUAGAAAGGGAAGGAAGGGAGGGAGGGAGGAAAAAAGGGAGGAAGGAAUAAUGUGGGCAGAUAGUCACAUAAAUUGCCUAGUUGGUAACAGUGAUAAAGGAGUUAUCAUCUAGGAUUAUGACACAGAAGUGGGAUCUGGGAUCUGGGCAGAAAAAGGUGUGUGUGUGUGUAUGUGUGUGUGUGUGUGUGUGUGUGUGUGUGUGUGUGUGUGUGUACACAUUAUGUGCUUGCAAGUGAGGAGCCUGGUUUCCACUGAAGGAAGGAAAGUAAUCCAAAAAAUGUUCCCAUCUCUUCUUCACACAUCUAUCUGUCCCCUCUCUCUCCAAAGCCUCCAGUGGUUUUUUAUAACUACAGCAUAAAGUCCGGGCUCCUUGACCUGGCAUUAAAACAUUCCACUAUCUGCCCCCUGCCUACCUCCGCUUCUAGACUUCUCUCUUUUGCCUGGUGCCUCUCUCCCCAAAUCUACCAUACUUUGCUGCUCUCAUGCACUCCUUACCUGUGUCGGUUCACCAAUCCAUUGAGAGGUCGGCUAUCAUUGCCCUUUGCUUGUGACACUCCUACUCACCGUCAUGGGAUUCACUGCUCCUCCAUCUUUCCUUUCAUGGCACUUUGCUUGUAGCCAAAUAGCAUGUAACUUGACCUCUUGCAGAUCACAGCUAUUUAUAUAUAUGUUUCUCUUCUUGUCCAGAAUGUCUCACAUGGGUGUAGGCAGGCCGCCAUCCCUCAGAUUGAUUGACUGAUAAACCCUCCAGAAGGCAGGGACAAGAUCAGUGCUCAAACCUACAGCUCAAGCUCUCAACUCCUGUCUGAAUGUCAGAACCACAUCUCCAAAUGCUUACCAGAUAUCUUCUGCUUGAAGUAAAUGCGUUCAAAACUGAGUUUAUUACCUUCUUGUAAUAAACAGAGAAAAUCAUGCUCACCAAGUAUUCUAUGUGCUCCCCUCUACUUUCCAAACUUCUGUAGUUAGGAGAGGCCAUAAGACUGGUUCUGGCCAAUGAAAUGUGCAUGGAAGCAACGUACAUCAUGUCUGGGCUGGGGUAAUAAAAAGCCCUGUACACAA